GUUAAGCGACUAAGCGUACACGGUGGAUGCCCUGGCAGUCAGAGGCGAUGAAGGACGUGCUAAUCUGCGAUAAGCGUCGGUAAGGUGAUAUGAACCGUUAUAACCGGCGAUUUCCGAAUGGGGAAACCCAGUGUGUUUCGACACACUAUCAUUAACUGAAUCCAUAGGUUAAUGAGGCGAACCGGGGGAACUGAAACAUCUAAGUACCCCGAGGAAAAGAAAUCAACCGAGAUUCCCCCAGUAGCGGCGAGCGAACGGGGAGCAGCCCAGAGCCUGAAUCAGUGUGUGUGUUAGUGGAAGCGUCUGGAAAGGCGUGCGAUACAGGGUGACAGCCCCGUACACAAAAAUGCACAUAUUGUGAGCUCGAUGAGUAGGGCGGGACACGUGGUAUCCUGUCUGAAUAUGGGGGGACCAUCCUCCAAGGCUAAAUACUCCUGACUGACCGAUAGUGAACCAGUACCGUGAGGGAAAGGCGAAAAGAACCCCGGCGAGGGGAGUGAAAAAGAACCUGAAACCGUGUACGUACAAGCAGUGGGAGCACGCUUAGGCGUGUGACUGCGUACCUUUUGUAUAAUGGGUCAGCGACUUAUAUUCUGUAGCAAGGUUAACCGAAUAGGGGAGCCGAAGGGAAACCGAGUCUUAACUGGGCGUUAAGUUGCAGGGUAUAGACCCGAAACCCGGUGAUCUAGCCAUGGGCAGGUUGAAGGUUGGGUAACACUAACUGGAGGACCGAACCGACUAAUGUUGAAAAAUUAGCGGAUGACUUGUGGCUGGGGGUGAAAGGCCAAUCAAACCGGGAGAUAGCUGGUUCUCCCCGAAAGCUAUUUAGGUAGCGCCUCGUGAAUUCAUCUCCGGGGGUAGAGCACUGUUUCGGCAAGGGGGUCAUCCCGACUUACCAACCCGAUGCAAACUGCGAAUACCGGAGAAUGUUAUCACGGGAGACACACGGCGGGUGCUAACGUCCGUCGUGAAGAGGGAAACAACCCAGACCGCCAGCUAAGGUCCCAAAGUCAUGGUUAAGUGGGAAACGAUGUGGGAAGGCCCAGACAGCCAGGAUGUUGGCUUAGAAGCAGCCAUCAUUUAAAGAAAGCGUAAUAGCUCACUGGUCGAGUCGGCCUGCGCGGAAGAUGUAACGGGGCUAAACCAUG
This 1148-nucleotide ribosomal RNA is filed under the name Escherichia coli. RNAcentral describes it as "partial 23S ribosomal RNA". It matches the Rfam family "Bacterial large subunit ribosomal RNA", at positions 1 to 1191 of the family's 2925-position model. Lineage: Bacteria; Pseudomonadati; Pseudomonadota; Gammaproteobacteria; Enterobacterales; Enterobacteriaceae. The record is from RNAcentral.